RNAcentral lists this ribosomal RNA (634 nucleotides) under uncultured bacterium. RNAcentral describes it as "bacterial SSU rRNA". It matches the Rfam family "Bacterial small subunit ribosomal RNA", at positions 159 to 809 of the family's 1533-position model. The record is from RNAcentral.
AACGCUAAUACCGCAUAAGGCCACACUUCCACAUGGGAGAGGGGUCAAAGGAGCAAUCCGCUGAAAGAUGGGCUCGCGUCCGAUUAGAUAGUUGGGGGGGUAACGGCCCACCAAGUCGACGAUCGGUAGCCGGACUGAGAGGUUGAACGGCCACAUUGGGACUGAGACACGGCCCAGACUCCUACGGGAGGCAGCAGUGAGGGAUAUUGGUCAAUGGGGGAAACCCUGAACCAGCAACGCCGCGUGAGGGAAGACGGUUUUCGGAUUGUAAACCUCUGUCCUCUGUGAAGAUAAUGACGGUAGCAGAGGAGGAAGCUCCGGCUAACUACGUGCCAGCAGCCGCGGUAAUACGUAGGGAGCGAGCGUUGUCCGGAUUUACUGGGUGUAAAGGGUGCGUAGGCGGGUAAGCAUGUCAGAAGUGAAAUCCAUGGGCUUAACCCAUGAACUGCUUUUGAAACUGUUUAUCUUGAGUGAAGUAGAGGUAGGCGGAAUUCCCGGUGUAGCGGUGAAAUGCGUAGAGAUCGGGAGGAACACCAGUGGCGAAGGCGGCCUACUGGGCUUUAACUGACGCUGAAGCACGAAAGCGUGGGUAGCAAACAGGAUUAGAUACCCUGGUAGUCCAUGCCGUAAACCA